CUUCGUAAUUUUGAAUUGCGUAAAUAUCAGAACUCCGAAAAUAGUGUCCAUGCCAGCAAACGAGUUCGACCAUUUCAUCUACCCAUAGUUUAAAUUUAUUGUCACAUUGUAAGUGUCUUCUUCGUCAGUAUUGUAAUUUUUGUUUUAUAAAAGGUCGUAUAUUGAACUAGUUCAAUGGCUCAUCCCAUUGUCCGAGGUGUU
Molecule: long non-coding RNA, 201 nt
Filed under: Mytilus galloprovincialis (Mediterranean mussel)
Lineage: Eukaryota; Metazoa; Mollusca; Bivalvia; Mytilida; Mytilidae
Source: RNAcentral